RNAcentral lists this non-coding RNA (28 nucleotides) under Rattus norvegicus (Norway rat). Lineage: Eukaryota; Metazoa; Chordata; Mammalia; Rodentia; Muridae. The record is from RNAcentral.
UGCAAGAACCUGUGAUUAAUCUUCAGUA